Long non-coding RNA from Phycodurus eques (leafy seadragon), 202 nucleotides. RefSeq lists it as uncharacterized. The transcript has 3 exons. Lineage: Eukaryota; Metazoa; Chordata; Actinopteri; Syngnathiformes; Syngnathidae. The record is from RefSeq and is a predicted model, not a curated record.
UGUGGUUUCACUGGAAUGGCAGACUUUGUAAAGUCAUGUCGGCACAAACUAACUUAAGACUCUUUCCGAACAGUACCUGCGUGGGUUUUCUCCGGGCACUCCGCUUUCCUCCCACAUCCCAAAAACAUGCAUGCAAAUGGCUGGCGACCGGUUCAGGGUGUAUCCCGUCUUUCGCCCACAGUCAGCUGGAAGAGGCUUCAGC